UAUACUUUCAUUUCUCUUGGAUCACGACCUAGAAGUGAAAUAGGUGGGUCCUGACUGCUGAACUGCCUCCUCACCAGCAGUGUAUACAAGUUCCCAUUAUUCUACAUUCUUCACCAAUAUUUGGAAUUCUCAGGACUUUCAUUUCAAACAUUUUAAAAGGCAUGAAAUGGUUUUCACAAGUGAUUUUAAUUUUCACGUCCCUGAUGACUAAUGAAGGAUCAGAGGAGCAACAAGUGACAGCUAUGUUGGAGGCCUUGGAAAGAUCCAUGAAUUUCAGAGGAUAAACAGUACGAGAAAGGCCCGAAAUGUCAAUCAAGGUGGAAGAACCAACAGCUGGAAACUAUCUCAGCUUCUGUAGAUAUACUACAGGUUAGAGGUGGAACAGCCACAUUCAGGAAUAAUAAUGAUAACAGGAAACAAAAGGAUGUUUUUAUUAAGUCUAGGGAUGUUUGGGCAAUAAAAUAUUUGUAGGAUAAAUCCUGGUGCUUACAGAGGUUUUUUUGUUGUUAUUAUUAUUUGUUUAUUUGUGGGUUUUUUUUUGAG
This is a long non-coding RNA of Artibeus jamaicensis (Jamaican fruit-eating bat), 543 nucleotides long. RefSeq lists it as uncharacterized. The record is from RefSeq and is a predicted model, not a curated record. The transcript is spliced from 3 exons. Lineage: Eukaryota; Metazoa; Chordata; Mammalia; Chiroptera; Phyllostomidae.